AAAAAGAUAAACCCUGAGUUUUCGUGUCCAACUUUGACUGUCUGUCUUAUAUAAAUUUUUUUUAUAAUUCGUAUUUUCAUUGUUGUUAGAUGAUAAAAUAUGAUUAAUAUUUUAUGUGCGACUUAUCUUUUUAAUUUUUUUUAUAAUUUUUUCAAAUAAGAUGGACGGUUAAACGUUGGACACGGAAAUCAGGGUUUGUCUUUUU
This 205-nucleotide microRNA precursor is filed under the name Oryza sativa Indica Group (long-grained rice). Its description in RNAcentral is "MIR812 microRNA precursor family". It matches the Rfam family "MIR812 microRNA precursor family". Lineage: Eukaryota; Viridiplantae; Streptophyta; Magnoliopsida; Poales; Poaceae. The record is from Rfam by way of RNAcentral.